This 2930-nucleotide ribosomal RNA is filed under the name Escherichia coli. RNAcentral's name for it is "23S ribosomal RNA". It matches the Rfam family "Bacterial large subunit ribosomal RNA". The record is from RNAcentral. Lineage: Bacteria; Pseudomonadati; Pseudomonadota; Gammaproteobacteria; Enterobacterales; Enterobacteriaceae.
GGGUUGUGAGGUUAAGCGACUAAGCGUACACGGUGGAUGCCCUGGCAGUCAGAGGCGAUGAAGGACGUGCUAAUCUGCGAUAAGCGUCGGUAAGGUGAUAUGAACCGUUAUAACCGGCGAUUUCCGAAUGGGGAAACCCAGUGUGUUUCGACACACUAUCAUUAACUGAAUCCAUAGGUUAAUGAGGCGAACCGGGGGAACUGAAACAUCUAAGUACCCCGAGGAAAAGAAAUCAACCGAGAUUCCCCCAGUAGCGGCGAGCGAACGGGGAGCAGCCCAGAGCCUGAAUCAGUGUGUGUGUUAGUGGAAGCGUCUGGAAAGGCGCGCGAUACAGGGUGACAGCCCCGUACACAAAAAUGCACAUGCUGUGAGCUCGAUGAGUAGGGCGGGACACGUGGUAUCCUGUCUGAAUAUGGGGGGACCAUCCUCCAAGGCUAAAUACUCCUGACUGACCGAUAGUGAACCAGUACCGUGAGGGAAAGGCGAAAAGAACCCCGGCGAGGGGAGUGAAAAAGAACCUGAAACCGUGUACGUACAAGCAGUGGGAGCACGCUUAGGCGUGUGACUGCGUACCUUUUGUAUAAUGGGUCAGCGACUUAUAUUCUGUAGCAAGGUUAACCGAAUAGGGGAGCCGAAGGGAAACCGAGUCUUAACUGGGCGUUAAGUUGCAGGGUAUAGACCCGAAACCCGGUGAUCUAGCCAUGGGCAGGUUGAAGGUUGGGUAACACUAACUGGAGGACCGAACCGACUAAUGUUGAAAAAUUAGCGGAUGACUUGUGGCUGGGGGUGAAAGGCCAAUCAAACCGGGAGAUAGCUGGUUCUCCCCGAAAGCUAUUUAGGUAGCGCCUCGUGAAUUCAUCUCCGGGGGUAGAGCACUGUUUCGGCAAGGGGGUCAUCCCGACUUACCAACCCGAUGCAAACUGCGAAUACCGGAGAAUGUUAUCACGGGAGACACACGGCGGGUGCUAACGUCCGUCGUGAAGAGGGAAACAACCCAGACCGCCAGCUAAGGUCCCAAAGUCAUGGUUAAGUGGGAAACGAUGUGGGAAGGCCCAGACAGCCAGGAUGUUGGCUUAGAAGCAGCCAUCAUUUAAAGAAAGCGUAAUAGCUCACUGGUCGAGUCGGCCUGCGCGGAAGAUGUAACGGGGCUAAACCAUGCACCGAAGCUGCGGCAGCGACGCUUAUGCGUUGUUGGGUAGGGGAGCGUUCUGUAAGCCUGCGAAGGUGUGCUGUGAGGCAUGCUGGAGGUAUCAGAAGUGCGAAUGCUGACAUAAGUAACGAUAAAGCGGGUGAAAAGCCCGCUCGCCGGAAGACCAAGGGUUCCUGUCCAACGUUAAUCGGGGCAGGGUGAGUCGACCCCUAAGGCGAGGCCGAAAGGCGUAGUCGAUGGGAAACAGGUUAAUAUUCCUGUACUUGGUGUUACUGCGAAGGGGGGACGGAGAAGGCUAUGUUGGCCGGGCGACGGUUGUCCCGGUUUAAGCGUGUAGGCUGGUUUUCCAGGCAAAUCCGGAAAAUCAAGGCUGAGGCGUGAUGACGAGGCACUACGGUGCUGAAGCAACAAAUGCCCUGCUUCCAGGAAAAGCCUCUAAGCAUCAGGUAACAUCAAAUCGUACCCCAAACCGACACAGGUGGUCAGGUAGAGAAUACCAAGGCGCUUGAGAGAACUCGGGUGAAGGAACUAGGCAAAAUGGUGCCGUAACUUCGGGAGAAGGCACGCUGAUAUGUAGGUGAAGUCCCUUGCGGAUGGAGCUGAAAUCAGUCGAAGAUACCAGCUGGCUGCAACUGUUUAUUAAAAACACAGCACUGUGCAAACACGAAAGUGGACGUAUACGGUGUGACGCCUGCCCGGUGCCGGAAGGUUAAUUGAUGGGGUUAGCGCAAGCGAAGCUCUUGAUCGAAGCCCCGGUAAACGGCGGCCGUAACUAUAACGGUCCUAAGGUAGCGAAAUUCCUUGUCGGGUAAGUUCCGACCUGCACGAAUGGCGUAAUGAUGGCCAGGCUGUCUCCACCCGAGACUCAGUGAAAUUGAACUCGCUGUGAAGAUGCAGUGUACCCGCGGCAAGACGGAAAGACCCCGUGAACCUUUACUAUAGCUUGACACUGAACAUUGAGCCUUGAUGUGUAGGAUAGGUGGGAGGCUUUGAAGUGUGGACGCCAGUCUGCAUGGAGCCGACCUUGAAAUACCACCCUUUAAUGUUUGAUGUUCUAACGUUGACCCGUGAUCCGGGUUGCGGACAGUGUCUGGUGGGUAGUUUGACUGGGGCGGUCUCCUCCUAAAGAGUAACGGAGGAGCACGAAGGUUGGCUAAUCCUGGUCGGACAUCAGGAGGUUAGUGCAAUGGCAUAAGCCAGCUUGACUGCGAGCGUGACGGCGCGAGCAGGUGCGAAAGCAGGUCAUAGUGAUCCGGUGGUUCUGAAUGGAAGGGCCAUCGCUCAACGGAUAAAAGGUACUCCGGGGAUAACAGGCUGAUACCGCCCAAGAGUUCAUAUCGACGGCGGUGUUUGGCACCUCGAUGUCGGCUCAUCACAUCCUGGGGCUGAAGUAGGUCCCAAGGGUAUGGCUGUUCGCCAUUUAAAGUGGUACGCGAGCUGGGUUUAGAACGUCGUGAGACAGUUCGGUCCCUAUCUGCCGUGGGCGCUGGAGAACUGAGGGGGGCUGCUCCUAGUACGAGAGGACCGGAGUGGACGCAUCACUGGUGUUCGGGUUGUCAUGCCAAUGGCACUGCCCGGUAGCUAAAUGCGGAAGAGAUAAGUGCUGAAAGCAUCUAAGCACGAAACUUGCCCCGAGAUGAGUUCUCCCUGACUCCUUGAGAGUCCUGAAGGAACGUUGAAGACGACGACGUUGAUAGGCCGGGUGUGUAAGCGCAGCGAUGCGUUGAGCUAACCGGUACUAAUGAACCGUGAGGCUUAACCUUACAACGCCGAAGCUGUU